RNAcentral lists this ribosomal RNA (84 nucleotides) under uncultured bacterium. RNAcentral describes it as "partial 16S ribosomal RNA". The record is from RNAcentral.
UGGGCCAAUUUCAGAUCCAGCAAUGCCGCGUGAGGAAGAAGGCCUUAUGGUUUUAAACUCUUUUAUAUUGGAAGAAAGGGUGGG